This 27-nucleotide unclassified non-coding RNA is filed under the name Mus musculus (house mouse). RNAcentral describes it as "oocyte_clustered_small_RNA7115". Lineage: Eukaryota; Metazoa; Chordata; Mammalia; Rodentia; Muridae. The record is from RNAcentral.
UUGCAGAGUUGGCAAUGCAUGGAGAGU